This 82-nucleotide transfer RNA is filed under the name Porphyromonadaceae bacterium. RNAcentral's name for it is "tRNA-OTHER". It matches the Rfam family "tRNA". Rfam says of the family: Transfer RNA (tRNA) molecules are approximately 80 nucleotides in length. Lineage: Bacteria; Pseudomonadati; Bacteroidota; Bacteroidia; Bacteroidales; Porphyromonadaceae. The record is from RNAcentral.
GAGUAUGUAGCUCAGUGGUAGAGCGGGUGUGGAAGUUGAAAGUUCUCAUCGUGCGCAGGUUCGAAUCCUGCCAUACUCUCAA